RNAcentral lists this ribosomal RNA (125 nucleotides) under uncultured archaeon. Its description in RNAcentral is "partial 16S ribosomal RNA". The record is from RNAcentral.
AAAAGCUCAUGUAAAACAUGAGCACUCRGACUUCCCUUCUCACACGUUAAUGAAUUGGAAAGUUUUCGCGCCUGCUGCGCCCCGUGGGGCGGGGGCGGCGGGACGGGCGCGGGGCGCGGCGGGCG